CGGUGACGCAAAGUGAAACCAGCACUUAAGCAAAAGUUUUCUCAGCAACGCAAUUUACCUCUGCGGAAGCGUACUGCUCGCAUCAAUCACAAUCGCAAGAGCACACGGAACAAAGGAAAGCAGGGGUUUUUAUUCCUAAUGCAAUCCCUACCUCUGGCAUGGGCUGGGGCCAGACCUCAAGAUCUAAACUGACCCGGUUGGCUAUUUGUGAAUACUUUCCCAAAUAAGGAAGGAGGAAGGGAGUCGUGAGUUACAGGUGGGACGUGUGGUUUGAAAGGGAGAAAUGGGUGCAGAGCAGGUAACCAAGGGAACAGAUGUGAGUUAUUGAUUAGAACUGAUGGGGGGAAGGUUGUUUACAGUAACUAAGGGCAAGGAGACAUGGAGAACAAGAAAGUUGAGUUCGAGAACAAAACACAAGAACGUUAACUUGUCGAACCUCGGAAGAGAAACUGACUGUAUCUGACGGUUUUACACAUUUUAGGGAGACAGGAGACAUCAAUCAACAUAUGUAAGAUGAACACUGGUUUGAUCCGGUACAACCUGAAGCAAAAGUGGGUCAACUCGAAGCCAGGAGGGGGCUUCCAGGUCACAGAAACGGGGGUCUCCCUCGGUUGCCCAGGCUGUCUCUGGUGCCCAACGCAGGGCUCCCCGUAAUCUCUACAAAUAAUCCAGUGAAGGAACACCAGAGCGUGGAAAGCUGAGGACGACCGACAAAGGACUCUCGAACAAGUAUUCUCCUUGGUUCCCGGAGUAUGGAACCAUGAAUGUAGAAGAUUGGGACAAGGUGAGAUCAGACUUAAAACGAGCACAACAAGAGGGCCGCGAUAUUCCCGUCUCUGCUUGGUCUGUGUGGUCUGCAAUUAAAACAGCCCUGGAGCCCUUCCACACUGAGGAGGAGGAGGAGGAUUUUCAGGAUGACAUAGCAAAGUUGAAUAAUCAGGAGUCUAAUUAUCAGCUAAGUGAACUAUGACAGUCUCGUUUAAAAAAGGGUGAGAAACGGGAAGGAAUUUCUCUGGGAUUUCCUGAACCAUCAGGAGGGUCCCCGCAUAAGAGAUCAUUUAAGCCACGGGGAGAUCAACUUACAUGAAUUUU
Molecule: non-coding RNA, 1092 nt
Organism: Macaca mulatta (Rhesus monkey)
Lineage: Eukaryota; Metazoa; Chordata; Mammalia; Primates; Cercopithecidae
Source: RefSeq, a predicted model, not a curated record